CUACGGGUCGCUGCAGUGGGGAAUAUUGGACAAUGGGGGAAACCCUGAUCCAGCAAUGCCGCGUGUGUGAAGAAGGCCUGCGGGUUGUAAAGCACUUUCGGUUGGGAGGACUGCUUCUAGCACUAAUAUUGUUGGAAGUUGACGUUACCUUCAGAAGAAGCACCGGCUAACUCCGUGCCAGCAGCCGCGGUAAUACGGAGGGUGCAAGCGUGAUCGGAGUUACUGGGCGUAAAGCGCGCGUAGGCGGCUAGAUCAGUCGGGUGUGAAAGCCCCGGGCUUAACCUGGGAACUGCAUCCGAUACUGUCUAGAUUGAGUACAGGAGAGGAGAGUGGAAUUCCACAUGUAGCGGUGAAAUGCGUAGAUAUGUGGAGGAACACCAAUGGCGAAGGCAGCUCUCUGGCCUGAUACUGACGCUGAGGUGCGAAAGCGUGGGGAGCAAACAGGAUUAGAUACCCGUGUAGUC
Molecule: ribosomal RNA, 464 nt
Filed under: uncultured bacterium
Lineage: Bacteria
Description: partial 16S ribosomal RNA
Rfam family: Bacterial small subunit ribosomal RNA
Source: RNAcentral